GGCUAAUGAUGCACGGACAUCCACCAUUUCCAUGCCUUACAGAGUCCAGCAGAUAGAAGAGAUCGUUAAACAGCUUGAGUCCGGAGAUCUGAAACUCAGAGUUCGGGUCCUCGAGUCUGAGAGAGCAGCUCGAAAAGCUACAAUUCUUCAAAUGGCAACCAUGUACACAGUCAUAGGGGGCACCCUCCUAAACCUUGGUGUCACUUUUACCAG
This 213-nucleotide unclassified non-coding RNA is filed under the name Hevea brasiliensis (rubber tree). The record is from RNAcentral. Lineage: Eukaryota; Viridiplantae; Streptophyta; Magnoliopsida; Malpighiales; Euphorbiaceae.